RNAcentral lists this ribosomal RNA (829 nucleotides) under uncultured bacterium. Its description in RNAcentral is "bacterial SSU rRNA". It matches the Rfam family "Bacterial small subunit ribosomal RNA", at positions 60 to 901 of the family's 1533-position model. The record is from RNAcentral.
AGUCGAACGGAAAUGAUUGAAGUUUACUUUGGUCAUUUUAGUGGCGGACGGGUGAGUAACACGUGAGCAACCUGCCUUUCAGAGGGGGAUAACGUUUGGAAACGAACGCUAAUACCGCAUAACGUAUACGGAUGGCAUCGUCUGUAUACCAAAGGAGGAAUCCGCUGAAAGAUGGGCUCGCGUCCGAUUAGCUAGAUGGUGAGGUAACGGCCCACCAUGGCGACGAUCGGUAGCCGGACUGAGAGGUUGACCGGCCACAUUGGGACUGAGACACGGCCCAGACUCCUACGGGAGGCAGCAGUGAGGGAUAUUGGGCAAUGGGGGCAACCCUGACCCAGCGACGCCGCGUGAGGGAAGACGGUCUUCGGAUUGUAAACCUCUGUCUUUGGGGACGAAAAAGGACGGUACCCAAGGAGGAAGCUCCGGCUAACUACGUGCCAGCAGCCGCGGUAAUACGUAGGGAGCGAGCGUUGUCCAGAAUUACUGGGUGUAAAGGGAGCGUAGGCGGGAAGGCAAGUUGGAUGUGAAAACUGUGGGCUCAACCUACAGACUGCAUUCAAAACUGUUUUUCUUGAGUGAAGUAGAGGCAAGCGGAAUUCCUAGUGUAGCGGUGAAAUGCGUAGAUAUUAGGAGGAACACCAGUGGCGAAGGCGGCUUGCUGGGCUUUUACUGACGCUGAGGCUCGAAAGUGUGGGGAGCAAACAGGAUUAGAUACCCUGGUAGUCCACACCGUAAACGAUGAUUACUAGGUGUGGGCGCGAUAAGCGUCCGUGCCGGAGUUAACACAAUAAGUAAUCCACCUGGGGAGUACGGCCGCAAGGUUGAAACU